RNAcentral lists this ribosomal RNA (479 nucleotides) under uncultured bacterium. RNAcentral describes it as "partial 16S ribosomal RNA". It matches the Rfam family "Bacterial small subunit ribosomal RNA", at positions 28 to 523 of the family's 1533-position model. The record is from RNAcentral.
GACGAACGCUGGCGGCGUGCUUAACACAUGCAAGUCGAGCGAUGAAGCACCUUCGGGUGUGAAUUAGCGGCGAACGGGUGAGGAACACGUGAGAAAUCUGCCUUCAACACUGGGAUAACUCCGGGAAACCGGGGCUAAUACCGGAUAUGAAACCUGCGGGCAUCCGCGGGUUUGGAAAGUUUUUCGGUUGAAGAUGAUCUCGCGGCCUAUCAGCUUGUUGGUGAGGUAAUGGCUCACCAAGGCGACGACGGGUAGCCGGCCUGAGAGGGCGACCGGCCACACUGGGACUGGGACACGGCCCAGACUCCUACGGGAGGCAGCAGUGGGGAAUAUUGGGCAAUGGAGGAAACUCUGACCCAGCGACGCCGCGUGCGGGAUGAAGGCCUUCGGGUUGUAAACCGCUUUCAGCAGGGAAGAAGCGAAAGUGACGGUACCUGCAGAAAAAGCACCGGCUAACUAUGUGCCAGCCGCCGCGGUAA